Molecule: long non-coding RNA, 1911 nt
Organism: Gallus gallus (chicken)
Lineage: Eukaryota; Metazoa; Chordata; Aves; Galliformes; Phasianidae
Exons: 5
Source: RefSeq, a predicted model, not a curated record
GCAGCUGGGUUCAUUUCCAGCUCCAUGAACCAAGCUCAUUCGCUGAGUAGCUACUCAAAUAGCAGUAACAGCAGCACAGAGAGGAAGGAAACAAGCAGCCAUAAGCACAAAGAUAGUGUCACCCUCUGCCUCAGUAGUUCACACUGCAAGCUAACACCCACAUGCAGCUGUCUAGGUGUCCACAUACAGCACAGCUCUAGUCAGUCUGCUCAGAAACAGUUGUCUAUAGACACGUAAGAAUGUGAACAUUGCAGACAGAAGCAGGAUUGCUGAGAUCAAAGGAGAAACAGCUCCAAGUUUAAAGGGGGAAAACACCAGCAUAGAAAGAUGCAAGAUCCAAAUGCAAAACAAAACAACAAAAACAAAUCAAAGCAAAACAGAACCCAUGACUAAUCACGAUGGUCAGUCUUACUGGGACUCCUGGACAUCAUGAAGUCACCAAGCAGAGCUGUCAGUGUUGCUGGUUUUGACUGGAGCUGGUGCAAGACGGCAACUCAGCAGCAACUCCUCUCUCCUAGAGAGUUGCUAAGGGCAACUCUUCCCCUUCUGACUGGCCAGUAAAGACUCUUCCGAUGCCUUAUUAGGUUGGUGAGCGUGUUUAGCCUUGUAGCUCAUUGCACCCACCCUAGUUAUCUUCUGUGACUAUAUUAGCCCGUAAGUACCCACUUUACAUUUUAAGUUAAGAAAGUCCUGUUUGUAGAGUCUCUUUGUGCCAGGUUAAAGAUCCAGAACAAAUCAACUCGGAGCAACCACAACAGAGUAAGAAACAACGGGUUUUUGUUGUUGUUGUUGUUGUUUUUGUUUUGUUUUGUUUUGUUUUUUUGCAUCAGUGGAGAUUGGUACUAAGUGGUUGCAUAGCUGUGACUAGGGCUAUGACACUACUAAAUCAAAUGCCAGCUUAUUACAAGACAUAAGGAAUCCAUUAAAGUGGCUCAAGCAUGAAUUUCAGCAUAGAAUUGUGGCUCUGCAGAUGGUGAAGAAUCCUAAGAAUGCAUCAGCAGGUAGCUAUAGCACAGAUGAGAGAAUGGGAGUGGACAGUCUAUGAACAGGAGCAAGAUUGAAGAGUCGCUAACUGCAGCAUUGAUAGGACAUGAGGAAGGCCAUAGGUUUUAAAUCAGAAGAUAACAGGCGAAAGCUAAUGACACUAGAAGUGAGAUUAACUGAGAUUAAUUUCUCCAACUUCCGUUUUGAGCAGAAUUAGAAUGCCUGAAGAAAUAGUAAAGAUGAAAAAAAGUGAAGUUGAGAUACGUUACUGGCAAGGACUGAUGGCUUAAGAAGAGAUGUCACUGAUUCUCACAAGCAAACAAAGGACAAAUGCUGACAGCUACCUUCACUUCAAUUGUUAACAAGCAAUUUCCAUCAGCUUUAGUGUGAAAUGGAUCAGCCAAUAUGAACGCAUAUUGUGAAUGACUCACCCUGUAUCAACUGUCUAUACAUGAGUAAAGCCACAUGUCCCCACACUGCUGAUAGUCUUUAUUAUGGGCUUUCUUUAAGGUAAGAGAUUAGGAGCUUAAACUAUGACCAGAAACUUUUACAUUAGUUUUUACACUUCUCCCUUCUUCAAAGUACAAUACAGAAAUGCAGCUUUGGGACUUUAGACUUGAAUAGCUGCAAAAUCUUAUAAAAGGGAAUAUUACCUCAAUCUGUCACAUGGAUUUGCUAUAUGCUGAAGAAGAAGGUUACAGACAUUAAAAAAAAUCUAUAUUAAAUUUGCAUGUUGGAACAUUUGCUCUCCCUUCUACCCAAGACUUCAUGACAGUUGGUUCCUUGGGCAUAUUCCUCAAAUUCAUUUCAUCAGAUUUUGUGGCAGUUUUCACUUCACAGUUUCCCUGGUAAUAUAGAAGAAUGGGACAGCCUAAAUUACUUUAAUUUUUCAAAUGUGAUGUUAAGAAAAUUGCCCACUAUUGAUUG